RNAcentral lists this long non-coding RNA (817 nucleotides) under Lepisosteus oculatus (spotted gar). RNAcentral describes it as "lncRNA (ENSLOCG00000021595.1)". Lineage: Eukaryota; Metazoa; Chordata; Actinopteri; Semionotiformes; Lepisosteidae. The record is from RNAcentral.
CAGCGUGGAAUAAACCUAUUACUUAUUUCACAAACAUAUUUACUGUUAAAUCACUGUGUUAAUUAAAUCAUCUAACAAUAUGUAUGCCCUAAUAUAAUUCAAUAUGUUUAAUCAGGGUAUCUUAAUCUUUUAAGACUUUAAUGAAUGUCUAAUUAUGUUUAAGUUCGACAAAAUAAGAGAAUAUAAACCAACUGAGGGAGUGCUCACACCUUUUUUUCUCACUGUACUUACUGGCACAAUAUUACAUGUAUUAUGUACAAAGUGGAUUACUAUUGCAUUCUACAUGCUCACAGGCUAAGAAUUGUGUCCUGACAAGAAGCAAACACUCUAUCUCUCUGAGCCCUGACAGAAGAGGCAACAUGAUCUGAAACCCAGUCUCGCUUUGCUGUGCAGUCAUUAAUAAAGCUACAGGAAGAGGAAGAGGAGGCCAGCACUGAAAAUCAAAUGAGCACCACCAGGAAAGGAAAUCAUGCCUCACAUAUCAGACAGGAAAGAAGAAAACAGAACUUCACCAGAACCACAAUCCUGUCAUCACAAUGCUUAUUUUGGGGCUCGAUACAUUAUGAUCUUCAAACGUUUGCCACUGUCAAAGGCCAGGAAAUUGUCAUUGUGUCAAGAGAUUAGAAAAUUCUUAAAUCCAACAGUGAUGCAAACCAUCACUGAUACAUAACCCUAAUACCAUAAGUCUUCUAGUGCAUUUCUCUGAAGAAAGAUUAUGCUCCACACCAAUGUACCUAACACACAAGAGGUGGAAAUAUCUUAUCAAACUAGUCUCAAACUUCUGAUUAAAAUGAGGCUGCACAUUAUUUCAUUUGUC